UGGGGAAUUUUGGACAAUGGGGGCAACCCUGAUCCAGCAAUGCCGCGUGUGUGAAGAAGGCCUUCGGGUUGUAAAGCACUUUUGUCCGGAAAGAAAACGCCGUGGUUAAUACCCGUGGCGGAUGACGGUACCGGAAGAAUAAGCACCGGCUAACUACGUGCCAGCAGCCGCGGUAAUACGUAGGGUGCAAGCGUUAAUCGGAAUUACUGGGCGUAAAGCGUGCGCAGGCGGUCCGCUAAGACAGAUGUGAAAUCCCCGGGCCUAACCUGGGAACUGCAUUUGUGACUGGCGGGCUAGAGUAUGGCAGAGGGGGGUAGAAUUCCACGUGUAGCAGUGAAAUGCGUAGAGAUGUGGAGGAAUACCGAUGGCGAAGGCAGCCCCCUGGGCCAAUACUGACGCUCAUG
Molecule: ribosomal RNA, 404 nt
Filed under: uncultured bacterium
Lineage: Bacteria
Description: partial 16S ribosomal RNA
Rfam family: Bacterial small subunit ribosomal RNA
Source: RNAcentral